This 77-nucleotide transfer RNA is filed under the name Brachybacterium muris UCD-AY4. RNAcentral describes it as "tRNA-Leu". It matches the Rfam family "tRNA". Rfam says of the family: Transfer RNA (tRNA) molecules are approximately 80 nucleotides in length. Their secondary structure includes four short double-helical elements and three loops (D, anti-codon, and T loops). The record is from RNAcentral. Lineage: Bacteria; Bacillati; Actinomycetota; Actinomycetes; Micrococcales; Dermabacteraceae.
GCCCCUAUAGCCCAAUCGGCAGAGGCAGCCGCCUUAAAAGCGGCGCAGUGUGGGUUCGAGUCCCACUGGGGGCACCG